Non-coding RNA from Pelobates cultripes (western spadefoot toad), 303 nucleotides. The record is from the annotation of a GenBank genome assembly. Lineage: Eukaryota; Metazoa; Chordata; Amphibia; Anura; Pelobatidae.
GCGCUAGAGGGUGUAGCUCUGAUAGCCAUGAGUACUGCAGGAAGAUGAUUAACCCACAAUUUACCGUAUUAUACUAGCAUUUUAGAUAACCUGGACUUUAGAGUGUGAUUCAUCCUUUCCACUAUACCUGAUGACUGGGGAUGGUAUGGUAUAUGAAAUCUCUGUUGAAUUUGCAUGACCUGUCCUGUAAAAUGGGUGCCCCUGUCUGAUUCAAUUAUUUCAGGGAAGCCCCAGCAUGGAAAGACAUGUUCCCAUAAUGCUUUGGCCGUGGCUAGUGCAGAGUCUCUCCUUAGGGGAAUUACC